This 254-nucleotide ribosomal RNA is filed under the name uncultured bacterium. Its description in RNAcentral is "partial 16S ribosomal RNA". It matches the Rfam family "Bacterial small subunit ribosomal RNA", at positions 524 to 776 of the family's 1533-position model. The record is from RNAcentral.
UACAGAGGUCUCAAGCGUUGUUCGGAUUUAUUGGGCGUAAAGGGUGCGUAGGCUGCGAAGUUAGUUGGAUGUGAAACGCUGUGGCUCAACCACGGCACUGCAUUCAAUACUGCUCCGCUCGAGCACUAGCGAGGAGGCUGGAAUUUACGGUGUAGCAGUGAAAUGCGUAGAUAUCGUAAGGAACACCAGUGGCGAAAGCGAGCCUCUAGAUAGUAUGCUGACGCUGAGGCACGAAGGCCAGGGGAGCAAACGGG